This 253-nucleotide ribosomal RNA is filed under the name uncultured bacterium. RNAcentral's name for it is "partial 16S ribosomal RNA". It matches the Rfam family "Bacterial small subunit ribosomal RNA", at positions 524 to 776 of the family's 1533-position model. The record is from RNAcentral.
UACGUAGGGCGCAAGCGUUGUCCGGAAUUAUUGGGCGUAAAGAGCUCGUAGGCGGUUUGUCGCGUCUGCUGUGAAAGCCCGGGGCUCAACCCCGGGUCUGCAGUGGGUACGGGCAGACUAGAGUGCAGUAGGGGAGACUGGAAUUCCUGGUGUAGCGGUGAAAUGCGUAGAUAUCGAGGGGAACACCAGUGGCGAAGGCGAGUCUCUGGACGACUCCUGACACUGAGGCACGAAAGCUGGGGGAGCAAACAGG